Molecule: ribosomal RNA, 1326 nt
Filed under: Triticum aestivum (bread wheat)
Lineage: Eukaryota; Viridiplantae; Streptophyta; Magnoliopsida; Poales; Poaceae
Description: partial small subunit ribosomal RNA
Source: RNAcentral
AUGGCUCUUGAUGCUUAUAGUAGAGAGUUUGAGAACCUCGCCUGCUAUGCUAUGGAGGAGGUGUCCAUGAACGCCAAGAAGCAGGCUAGGUUCCGGAAGGGUCUCAAUCCCAAGUUGCGUCAUGAUCUCCACCUGCAUCAUUGUGAUACUUUCCAGGCACUUGUGAACAAGGCCAUUAAUGCAGAGACAGCUCAGUUCACUUACGAGGAGUCUUGUAAGCACACCCGUGAUAUGGGUUCUUCCUCCGGUUCUAGUUCUCAGAAUCGCCGGAUUUGGAUUUCGAACUCUGCUCUUCCACCCGGUUUAACACCGAGGCCAUCUUAUGUGGCGCCUCACCCGAUUCCGUUUUAUGCUCCACCCAGGGCUAUUGGUGGACCGCCUGCAGAUGCGGGUCCACGUCCUACCUCCAAGAUUUGUUACAAGUGCAGAGAGCCAGGCUACAUUGCCCGUAUUUGCACUCAGACCAGUGUUGCUCCACCCCAGCCCAAGAAGUCUGUUGGCUAUGGUAAGCCAUCACAUAAGAUGAUUAGUGCCAAAUCAGAUCCCACUAAAUGUGGACGUGUGCAUCACGUCUUAGCUAAAGAUGCUCAUGAUGACAUAGAUGUCGUUCUUGGUACACUCCUUGUCAACUGUCAUCCAACAUCGGUUCUAUUCGAUACUGGAGCGUCUCAUUCCUUCAUUUCCAAAAGCUAUGGCUGCUUGCACGACAUGUCAUUUUGUGAUAUGCCAUCCCCACUACUCAUUCAAACUCCUGGAUCCAAAUGGCAAACUUCUAGGAUAAGUUAUGGCAAUGAAAUCCAUGUUGACAGACUUGUAUUCCUUGCUUCCUUGAUAUCUCUCAAGUCUUGGGAUAUUAACAUCAUCUUGGGUAUGGACUGGAUGACAGCUCAUCAUGCCAAGAUUGAUUGUUUCACCAGGUCUGUUCAGCUUACAGACCCAUCUGGCAAGAUAGUCACUGUCUCCACUAGAGUUGCAAAGCGCCAACUCUAUUCUCUUAAUGCUAGCCCUCUUCCAGACCUUGAAGAUAUCCCGAUAGUCCGUGACUUUCCGGAUGUCUUUCCAGAGGAACUGCCAGGCUUUCCACCUGACAGAGAUCUAGAGUUUGUCAUAGAUCUUAUCCCAGGAACCGCUCGAAUUUCUAGGAAACCUUACAAGAUGGCACCCUUAGAACUAGACGAGCUUAAGAAACAACUUGAUGAGUCCUUUCAAAAGGGUUUCAUCCGUCCUAGUUCUUCUCCUUGGGCUUGCCCCGUCCUCUUCGUCAAGAAGAAGGAUGGUACGGACCGGAUGGUUGUAGAUUAUCGUCCCGUUAAUUUGGUCAGAUAA